GACGAACGCUGGCGGCGUGCUUAAUACAUGCAAGUCGAACGGAAAGGCGCUGCUUUUGUGGGUUGCUCGUUUGGCGAACGCGUGUGUAACACGUGUGUAACCCCUCCUUGUCUUUGUGAUAACUUCAGGGAACUGGGGCUAAUAUCGGAUAGGAUCUCCUGCUCCAUGGGGUUGGUUGGAGAGUGUCGGCGGUUGGGGCUGGACUCGCGGCUUAUGAGCUUGAUGGUCAGGUAGGGGCUUACCAAGGCUUUGACGGGUAGCCGGCCUGAGAGGGUAAACGGGGACAUUGCGACUGCGGGAGGGAGCAGAAUGCUACGGGAGGCAGCAGUCGGAAGUAUUGCGCAAUAGGCGGAAGCCUGAUGCGGAAACGCCGCGAGCGUGAUAACGGCCUUCGGGUUGUAAACAGCUUUCGCCUGUGCCGAAGAGUGAGUGACGGUAAUGGGUCAAGAAGCAACGGCUAACUACGUG
Molecule: ribosomal RNA, 468 nt
Filed under: uncultured bacterium
Lineage: Bacteria
Description: partial 16S ribosomal RNA
Rfam family: Bacterial small subunit ribosomal RNA
Source: RNAcentral